CACUGGCCUUUCACCUUGCUUCCUUGAGCUUAUAGCAAAGAUAUCUCUAAUGAGACAGAUAGGGGUAUUUUUUUUAUAUAUACUCGUACAUUAAGGGUUGAUAAGUAUGUAGGGGUGUAUAUAAAAAAAAAUACCACUCUUUGUUUCAUUAGAGAUAUCUUUGCCAGAAGUUCAGUGAAGCAGGGUGAAAGGUCAGUGU
This 199-nucleotide microRNA precursor is filed under the name Pelobates cultripes (western spadefoot toad). Lineage: Eukaryota; Metazoa; Chordata; Amphibia; Anura; Pelobatidae. The record is from RNAcentral.